UUUUCAAACCGGUGUAAGCCAGGUCGGUUUCUAUCCCCAAUUUUAUUAUAAUUUUUAGUACGAAAGGACCACUAUUGUGAAAAUUUUUUUCUUUUUGGUUAAAGUU
RNAcentral lists this ribosomal RNA (106 nucleotides) under Megaloprepus caerulatus. RNAcentral's name for it is "partial 16S ribosomal RNA". The record is from RNAcentral. Lineage: Eukaryota; Metazoa; Arthropoda; Insecta; Odonata; Coenagrionidae.